Lagopus muta (rock ptarmigan) is the source of this 4458-nucleotide long non-coding RNA. RefSeq lists it as uncharacterized. The record is from RefSeq and is a predicted model, not a curated record. The transcript is spliced from 3 exons. NCBI's taxonomy places the organism in Eukaryota, Metazoa, Chordata, Aves, Galliformes, Phasianidae.
GGAAGGUUCUUGUUUGGAGAUUCCCUCUUUUGGUGAUUUUUGUGGGUGAGCAUACGGUCAGAUGCUAUUGAAAUGAGCAUAGACCCAUCUAGGGCUUCCUGGGAUGACGAUGCUACUCUUUUCCUAAUGCAGGGGUGAAGAUCUGUAUGCCUUGGUAGUUAUUGCCAUAUUUAUUGACAAAAAAAAUCUCAAAACAUGGUAUAAAAACACACCAAGGGAGAAAUUGUAGUAAUUGACACAACAGAUGGAUAGACCGUGUUGUAGUUACCUGCUGCCAAAGUCAAUCCAAGUAAUAUGGCUGUACAACACUAUGAGCUGCAAGGGAGAGAUGAAAUAAGUUGAUCUGUUAGUUGACCUAAUGGAAUCUCCUUUCCUGGCUAAAGAAAUGGAGGCACCCUUUAUGUUAGGCUCUUCUGUCUAGCAGCAGUUAUUAGAAAACUUGUAAAACUUACUGAGUUUGAGAUCUCUGCCCAUCUCUGGCCAGCUGUUUCCAUCUAUGUAAGGGAGCUUAUAACUUAGAUACAGGGUAGCUACAGAAACCUUGUUUCCUCAGGAUAGCCACUUAAAAAGGAAGGGUAUUCACUGAAAAUGAAAUAGUUUAAGUCAAAGAUUUUGUUUGAGUUUGAUGAGUAUCUACAUGCGGGGUUAGGCAUGAAUUGGGCACAUGCUGCAUCCUUAAAGCUUUCUGUGGCUGAUGGACCUGGGCAGGAUGACCUCUUGGGACAGACGAUGGUAGCAGUCCUGGUCUUAAAGUGCUCUAACAGAAGGUCUGAAAUUUCACGCAGAGAACAAGUCAGUCUCCAACACCUCCUCAACAAGAACAGCUCUUCAGGGAACUGUGUGGUGAACGGCGUUCUUCCCAAUCCAAAUAACUCAACUGCCUAUGUUUCCACUGAAAAACAUAGUUUGCCUCUUUUCAAUGCUCUUAACCAUCUUAAGUUGUCCUGCUUUUCCGUGUAUUAUUUUAUUUUUUUGCUUUACAUCCAUUGUCUUCAGUAGCGGAUGUAGACGAGUUCUAUAAUCCAUCACAAAGUGGAAUGGAUCACGGCAUGGCUCAUCUUCCAGCUGAGGACCUGCGCUGCAAUUUUAGUUAGCAAAUGCAACUUGUCCAGCAGCGGGGCGUUGCAGUUUGGGCUCCGGACAGAAGAGGGGGCCCUUCGGAUGGCCAGAUGGAAAAGCUCAGCCAGAUGUGGUCCAGCUGUGGCUCCAGAGUGCCUCCUGCCGCAGGGCCCUGUGCUGCUGACGCAGUAUGGAGAGAGCUGGGGGCUCGCUGGGCAGAAGAAUCUCGAGCACUGCGUGCUCAGAAGGAGAUAUGUGGUUAAUAUUUCUGCUCCACUCCGAAGGUGGCUGAGAGAGUACAGAAGCAAUGCCGGAUAUUUGCUCCAGAGCCUCUGUGCUGUUUGAAUCUGCACUUUGGAAGGUUGUGGCUUAUUCGGUCAAGGUUGUAUCUUGUAAACCACCUGAGGAACAUGUUCCAUGCAAGGUUGCCUGCAUGCAAAUGUGAUGUUUGACACAAACUGCUGGAUUCCCUGACGUCUCUACUUCUACCUCGGGUAAAUUUGUAUCGGCUGCACUGAACAAGUAAAAAUGCUUCCACACUGUAAAGCACUCCCAUAACAUUGAUUCAAGAUUGAUCGCUUGCAUGAGGUAGUUCAGAGAGUAGUUACAGCUGCACAAAACCUUUUAUUCAGGGUUAGAAUUUGACCUAGCGUGAUAACCAGGCAAUAAAAUAGGAGUUGGCUGUCAAAUUCAGGAGAAAUAAGGCAUCACCAGGGCUUAAAGAUCUGCUUCACAACUUUUCUAUCAAAUAAGUCACAUCUCCUGAGUGGAUAUUUCCACAAUUUUUGACAAGGAAGAAAGAAAAUAUUGUCUUUGCCUAGAUCUUAUGAAGUGAAAUAAAGCUGCAAUGAUUGCUAGCCAAGCACAUCUAAACACAGAAUUAAUGCAAGCACUCAGUGUGCAGAGAUGUUUUUAAAUCUUGAUUUACAGUCUGUGUUUUGUAAAUUAACAGAAUCCUCACAACCCUCACAUGAUCUUCAUCAGAUAAUUUUGUGUUUGAAACAUGUGCCAUAUGUUUGAAACUGACCCUAAUGCUUCUGAAGGAAUGAGUGGUUGGUGUUUUCAGGAUGCAGCCUGGAAUCCAGUGCCGGCUGAUGAGUCAUUAAAUAAGGAGAAUAGCAUUUACAGGACGUAAUACAAUAUAUCAGUUUAGCAGAACUGAAAUUUAACUUUCUCAAAUGCCACUUCAGAUAAACAGAACAUAGUCUUUCUCCACUGGAACUGGACCAGGUGCAGAAUAAGCUGCUAUAAUUAUGCCUGCCCUACCAUGAAGACCAUUGCAAGUAUUUUAAUCUUACUUAAUUUUUACAUUACAUUAUGAAAACUUCAUUGAAAAAUACAUUUCAACUGUAAAACUGUUUGAAGUAUGAAAUCUAAAGUGUGUCUUGAAUAAAUUUUGCACAUCUUCAUUCUGAAUUGGUGAAAACCAUAAGUAGGAGAUAUCAGAAUUUAUAGUGUUGUGCUAUUUUAUUGUUACUGAAUGUGAUAGAAACACACUGGGAUAGGGUCUAGAGGCCAAGUUUGCCCAAAUAUAUGAGGUCAACUCUGAGACUAUUAUAGGCUCUGGAAGAACAAUUACAGAGGCUAUAAAAGUAUUCGAUCCUUGGAAAAGAAGUACUGGCUUGUAUAGGAGUAAUAGGAUAAAGCAAACACUGUCUUGUGGCUAUAAAUUCAGCUUCAUAGGGAUCAAUUGCCUUUGCCCGUCCACGUACAGUUAACAACAAAAAGAAUCAGAGAAGCGCAAAGUAAUUUUUUCUUUCACGUGUGACAUAGAAAACAAAAAAGAACAAGAAAAUGGGACGCUUGACUGCUUGUUUUCCUCAUGUUUAUUUUCUCCAAAUACUCCAAAUACUCAUGAUUACUGUCUUCUACUAUGGAAACUGAUGAAGAAAUCAGAUACGUAUUUGCUGCAGUUUCAGAAACAUAAUAUAAAUCUACUUGUUUAGUUUGUCUUGUUCAACAGAAAUUACAAGGCGUCCUGACAGCAAAAUAGACUAAUAAUCAUAACAAAUCUAAUUCAUCUCUGUUCUACUUUGAACUAGAAUGAACUUUCUCUGCAAGACAAGGGAACAACUCACAGAUCUGUUAUUCUGGAAGAAUUAUAAGCAAAAUCAAUACACGUUGCUCAUGACACACAUCAGUGGGUUGUCAUAACAGUGAUUAUGAGUUCUCCAUCAGUAGACAGAGUGAAUGCUCGGGCUACUCUGAAAGUUUUUGUUACUUGACAAAACAAAAGUCAGUUUUCUGGCCUACCUCAUCCUAUCUUUUUAUUUAAGUAAAUGUAGAAAAAGCUUGCAAUCAACAUUAUGGACCUUGCUGCUCACUUGCCAUUUACUAAUGCGGCAGUGUCAAGCUAAUAGAUUUUUCAGUGAAUGGCCAGAAAUAAAAGUAGCCUCUAUUGAGUCUGUUUACUUUGGUCAUGACUUCCUAUUUAUUGCUUUCAGCAGAGAAAGAAGCUCAGAAAACUAAUGUCCAGUAACAUAUGACAAUUCAUAUCUUUACAAUUUCAGUAUUUUUCCUGGGGAAAAGAGGAGACAUUGUACACACACAACAAUCAGCACAGUGUCCUCUAGCUAAUGAAGGACUGAACACUACAAUAAAGCUUUGAAAAGAAAGGUUGGAGGUAUCUAAACUGAAAGGAAAAUCUGGGAAAACUUUCACUUCAAAUUUCCUUGAAAAAAAAAAAAGAGAGAGACAUGAUGCAGCAAAGCUGAGGGAGAUUUUAAAAGCAGGAGGAAAAUGUUAGAAUAGAAAUACCAGUCUAAUAGGAUUUGAGAAAACCAUCCAAUGGAAAUAGCAAAAAUGAGAAAAGUUAUCAUGUUAGUUUUGAACUACCAAGGAUCUGCAAUGUGCAAGAAAUCUGUGAGAAAACAAAAACCCAUUAUAUAGGAGAAUUAUAGUUUACAUUACCUCUCAGUAGUGUCUGAAGGAGAAAUGAGCCAUCCGUUCCAGUGGAUGAUAAAUAAGAAAUUUUUAUCACUCUAUGUAUUUAUUACCUGAGCAACUUGGACACGUAUUAUCAUGUCCACCUGUAACUGUAUGCUUUGUAUUACUCCUUCUGGUGCAGGAUGCACCAAAGGAAUAAGAGGAUGAGCAUCCAGCCAAGUCUACAGAAUCACCUGUGUGAGCUAGAACCAGAGCUAUGACAUCCUCUAUUCUGUGAUCCUAAAGAAUUUGUUAGGAGGAAUUAGUUCUAUGUCAGCUCAUCAGGUUGUUUCUUAGUUACUUGGCUAUUUAUUUCCUGACUGUAUAAUUAGUGAAUUCUAAGAUGUCAGUUACUUCUUUACUGCUGUUCUUCUACACAGUGGGACUGCGCUUGCCUUUCUGGACAGGGGAAUACAUGGUACUGCAGUGCUGACUCUGCACAUGAAGGAUUUAGACCACUUAGAGCAAAGAAAC